This 585-nucleotide long non-coding RNA is filed under the name Homo sapiens (human). Its description in RNAcentral is "novel transcript". The record is from RNAcentral. Lineage: Eukaryota; Metazoa; Chordata; Mammalia; Primates; Hominidae.
ACCGAGUGUCAGUUAACGGAUAGCAGACCUCUCGGGCAAUUAUUAGUAGUAGUACUAUCGGUACUGUUAGUGCCACACAAUAUUUCUAAAACCCAUCAAGCGUGGACGAGAAGGAAGAGCUGUGAGGAGAGAAGGGUAAAGGAAUAAAUAAAAAUAUAUUCCUGCCGUCAACGGCCUGGAUAAUCUGUAUUGGACUAGGAGACUUCAAUUUUCGUGACCGCCUUUCCCCUCCACGUUUCCACCAGCCGAGAAGAUCCUCUGGGACUUGAUUCUCAGCGGGGCUUGAUCUCAGACAUUUCAAUUCCAGUGCGUUCCUCCCAGUGGGAAUUCGGGGCGCGACUUCGUGCGCACUGGGCCCACUCCCGGCCUUGCUCGCUGCCAGGAGCCUUCUGUACAAACGCGACCUUCUCCCAGGACUCAGCAAUGAGCGUUCAGCUCGGUUCGAAAUGAGCUCCCAGCAGGCGACCAUCCUGAGUGAAGGAAGGGAACCCGACCAUUUCUGGAAUCAGCGUAGUGUUCACGCCGUUUGCGAGAUUUCUCGGAAAUAAGAAAGAAAAAGAGGAAAGGGUUAAAAAGUUUAGCGAC